This 396-nucleotide ribosomal RNA is filed under the name uncultured bacterium. Its description in RNAcentral is "bacterial SSU rRNA". It matches the Rfam family "Bacterial small subunit ribosomal RNA", at positions 30 to 416 of the family's 1533-position model. The record is from RNAcentral.
AUUGAACGCUGGCGGCAGGCCUAACACAUGCAAGUCGAACGGUAACAGGAAGAAGCUUGCUUCUUUGCUGACGAGUGGCGGACGGGUGAGUAAUGUCUGGGAAACUGCCUGAUGGAGGGGGAUAACUACUGGAAACGGUAGCUAAUACCGCAUAACGUCGCAAGACCCAAAAGAGGGGGGACCCUUUCGGGCCUCUUGCCAUCGGAUGUGCCCAGAUGGGAUUAGCUAGUAGGUGGGGUAACGGCUCACCUAGGCGACGAUCCCUAGCUGGUCUGAGAGGAUGACCAGCCACACUGGAACUGAGACACGGUCCAGACUCUACGGGAGGCAGCGGUGGGAAUAUUGCACAAUGGGCGCAAGCCUGAUGCAGCCAUGCCGCGUGUAAUGAAGAAGGCC